RNAcentral lists this ribosomal RNA (492 nucleotides) under uncultured bacterium. RNAcentral describes it as "partial 16S ribosomal RNA". It matches the Rfam family "Bacterial small subunit ribosomal RNA", at positions 29 to 507 of the family's 1533-position model. The record is from RNAcentral.
AGUGAACGCUGGCGGUAGGCCUAACACAUGCAAGUCGAACGGCAGCACAGUAAGAGCUUGCUCUUACGGGUGGCGAGUGGCGGACGGGUGAGGAAUACAUCGGAAUCUACUUUUUCGUGGGGGAUAACGUAGGGAAACUUACGCUAAUACCGCAUACGACCUACGGGUGAAAGCAGGGGAUCUUCGGACCUUGCGCGAUUGAAUGAGCCGAUGUCGGAUUAGCUAGUUGGCGGGGUAAAGGCCCACCAAGGCGACGAUCCGUAGCUGGUCUGAGAGGAUGAUCAGCCACACUGGAACUGAGACACGGUCCAGACUCCUACGGGAGGCAGCAGUGGGGAAUAUUGGACAGAGGGCGCAAGCCUGAUCCAGCCAUACCGCGUGGGUGAAGAAGGCCUUCGGGUUGUAAAGCCGUUUUGUUGGGAAAGAAAAGCAGCAGGUUAAUACCCCGCUGUUCUGACGGUACCCAAAGAAUAAGCACCGGCUAACUUCGUG